Molecule: ribosomal RNA, 433 nt
Filed under: uncultured bacterium
Lineage: Bacteria
Description: partial 16S ribosomal RNA
Rfam family: Bacterial small subunit ribosomal RNA
Source: RNAcentral
AGCGAACGCUGGCGGCAGGCCUAACACAUGCAAGUCGAACGAACCUUUCGGGGUUAGUGGCGGACGGGUGAGUAACACGUGGGAACGUGCCUUUAGGUUCGGAAUAACUCAGGGAAACUUGUGCUAAUACCGAAUGUGCCCUUCGGGGGAAAGAUUAAUCGCCUUUAGAGCGGCCCGCGUCUGAUUAGCUAGUUGGUUGAGGUAAUGGCUCACCAAGGCGACGAUCAGUAGCUGGUCUGAGAGGAUGAUCAGCCACAUUGGGACUGAGACACGGCCCAAACUCCUACGGGAGGCAGCAGUGGGGAAUCUUGCGCAAUGGGCGAAAGCCUGACGCAGCCAUGCCGCGUGAAUGAUGAAGGUCCUAGGAUUGUAAAAUUCUUUCACCGGGGACGAUAAUGACGGUACCCGGAGAAGAAGCCCCGGCUAACUUCGU